AGUGAUUGUGAGUUCCAUGAGGGUGCAAUUACUUGAAGAAAGCUUCACAAGUUGAGUUGAAAGUGUUUCCAGUGAGAUACCACUCUUUUGUUCAUAACAGGGCAUUCUGAGAUUCUGCUAGUGCAAACUUCGUUUGGUGAUUUUAAGCUUUUAGAGACUCCUUUUUUCAAUAUUUUUUGAUACACUCCUCCUUAGACAUGGCUUCUAGUGAGGGUGAAGGUUUGAGAGUGAUUGAGAAGUUUAGAGGGAACAAUUUCUACCAUUGGAAGGUCAAAAUGGAGCUUUUG
RNAcentral lists this long non-coding RNA (287 nucleotides) under Physcomitrium patens. RNAcentral describes it as "long non-coding RNA (PPAT_LNC003941)". Lineage: Eukaryota; Viridiplantae; Streptophyta; Bryopsida; Funariales; Funariaceae. The record is from RNAcentral.